Molecule: ribosomal RNA, 425 nt
Filed under: uncultured bacterium
Lineage: Bacteria
Description: partial 16S ribosomal RNA
Rfam family: Bacterial small subunit ribosomal RNA
Source: RNAcentral
GUGGGGAAUAUUGGACAAUGGGCGCAAGCCUGAUCCAGCCAUGCCGCGUGAGUGAUGAAGGCCUUAGGGUUGUAAAGCUCUUUCAGUGGGGACGAUAAUGACGGUACCCACAGAAGAAGCCCCGGCUAACUUCGUGCCAGCAGCCGCGGUAAUACGAAGGGGGCUAGCGUUGUUCGGAUUUACUGGGCGUAAAGCGCACGUAGGCGGAUCGUUAAGUCGGGGGUGAAAUCCUGGAGCUCAACUCCAGAACUGACUUCGAUACUGGCGAGCUUGAGUCCGGAAGAGGUGAGUGGAACUCCUAGUGUAGAGGUGGAAUUCGUAGAUAUUAGGAAGAACACCAGUGGCGAAGGCGGCUCACUGGUCCGGUACUGACGCUGAGGUGCGAAAGCGUGGGGAGCAAACAGGAUUAGAAACCCCAGUAGUCC